AUUCGUUUUAGUUUUGUGUGUUUUGCUGUCCUUUCCUCCGGACGCACCAAUUCAGCACCUUUUCCAGCAGAGAUCGUUGUGAGAUCGCAGGUCGGGAGGAUGACAGCUCGAGUGUAUUUCUCGUUGAUUGCUGUUUUAUCGUGUCUGUUAGGAUACUUGAGCAUAACUCAUGCUAUUCAGAGACGACCCACAGUGGAUGGUUUCUGUCCGGCGAUGCUGACGGUCGUGCCGUCCCGUCGAGGAUGUUCUUCUGAUAAAGACUGCCCUGGAG
Long non-coding RNA from Sinocyclocheilus anshuiensis, 271 nucleotides. RefSeq lists it as uncharacterized. The record is from RefSeq and is a predicted model, not a curated record. Lineage: Eukaryota; Metazoa; Chordata; Actinopteri; Cypriniformes; Cyprinidae. The transcript has 2 exons.